This 79-nucleotide transfer RNA is filed under the name Candidatus Hydrogenedentota bacterium. RNAcentral's name for it is "tRNA-Pro". It matches the Rfam family "tRNA". Rfam says of the family: Transfer RNA (tRNA) molecules are approximately 80 nucleotides in length. Their secondary structure includes four short double-helical elements and three loops (D, anti-codon, and T loops). The record is from RNAcentral. Lineage: Bacteria; Pseudomonadati; Candidatus Hydrogenedentota.
CGGGGUGUGGCCUAGCCCGGCUUAAGGCGCUCGCCUGGGGGGCGAGAGAUCGAAGGUUCGAAUCCUUUCACCCCGACCA